UGGAACAUAGCGCAAUUGGUGAGAGCAGGCGUCUGAUCAAACCCCGAAGGGGUGCGACAAGAGCUUCGACGAAGCUCCGAUAAAUAUACGUCAGGUUCCGGGUUCGAGUCCCGGUGUUCCGA
Molecule: transfer RNA, 122 nt
Filed under: Clostridiales bacterium
Lineage: Bacteria; Bacillati; Bacillota; Clostridia; Eubacteriales
Description: tRNA-OTHER
Rfam family: tRNA
About the family: Transfer RNA (tRNA) molecules are approximately 80 nucleotides in length. Their secondary structure includes four short double-helical elements and three loops (D, anti-codon, and T loops).
Source: RNAcentral